UUGUAUUUCAAGCAAAGCAUUAAGAUGAUCAUAUUCUGCUGUUAGAAGAGUUGGGUAGCAACAGUGUAAAGAGAACUGCAGAAGGGCAGGCUGUGGGAGUGAGAUGAUGGAGAAAACUACUGCUAUGGUCUAGGCAAGACAAGAGAAGAGGAUGAAUUAUGGCAGGGAGAUGGAAAGUGGGAAUGCUAUUUCUCAAGCAGAUUUGCAAAACAUGCUAGGAUAUAAGUGAGAUAGAUUAAAGAGACUAGGAUGAUAUGCAAAAAUCUGAGUGAUUGAUAGCAGAUAACCAUGAGAAAGCAUAUAUAAGAUGAACAGAUUUUUGUGAAAGAAGAUGAAGAAUUUGAGGCGUGUGAGGGAUAUUUAAGGGAAAAUGUUCAGAAGACAUUAUGUGUAUGGUCACAGGGCUCAGAGAAGAGUGUAGGCUGAAGGUUCAAAUUUGGGAGUCGUCAGCAUAUAGGCAGUAAUUAAUAUCAAGGCAGAGGAUGAGGUCACCAGAAAGAGGAGAAUGGUGGUUUAGAAUGAAGCAUCAGACAAUACUAAGAUUUAAUGGUAAAUAAAAAGCAAAUCUGCAAGAAAGAGUUCAGUCAAGUAGAAGGAAAACUAGAAGAGACUGGACACAGGAACUAGGGAAACUUUUCAAAGAUCUUUCAAUAUGAUCAAACAUUGCACAAGUUCAACGAGGAAGAACUAAAGGGGUCCUGAAAUUGGUUCAUGGAGACACUGAAGUGCAUCAUUCCAGGAACUGAAAGUGCCUAUCAGUCAAGACCACAUCCAUUCAAAAGCUUAUAGAGCAGAAGUAGGCUCCGACCACUUGUUCAGCUUGUGUCCGUUGCUGCUUUGCUCUGUUCCACCUUGCACUGGAUGGCUUGCACUGCAUUUAAAGGUAUGUUGCACACCACUAAAUGUUCUUCAGCCGUGGGCCUUUUAUAUACCCAAGGAGAUCUUAUGUGAUAUUGAAGGCAGAGGCAAGUUCACGAUUUCUUUGGUUGUCUCCUUACACAUGGAAAAUACAGUGCUCUGUUCAAAACACACUUAUGGCAAUUCACUAUUAGCUUAACAUCAUCUUCAAAAUUGGCAUCUAAAUGCAACUCAUGAAGGAUACAGUAUUCUUUUUCAUUGGCUAACAGUGAAAGUAAGAGAAUCACAGAAGGCCCCCAAGUUGAUAAGGGUAGAAUUCCUGUAUUGUCAAACUGAGAGCUACUUCCCUCUGGAAGUGUAGUGAAAUGAAUUAAACUACAAAGCAGCUCAUUAAUAAGAUUUUUUCAUUUAAAAACAAAACAUUAUUUUGCCAAUAGCUGCUUUUAUGGUAUAUCUUCUACUCACACUAAAUUUAUUGGGCUUCUGUUAAAGAGGGAAUCUGACUGUGUUGACAAGUUGUUUGAC
RNAcentral lists this long non-coding RNA (1383 nucleotides) under Callithrix jacchus (white-tufted-ear marmoset). Its description in RNAcentral is "lncRNA (ENSCJAG00000074767.1)". The record is from RNAcentral. Lineage: Eukaryota; Metazoa; Chordata; Mammalia; Primates; Cebidae.